CGAGUAGGCGGCCUCGUCAGUCGGGCGUGAAAUCCCGCGGCUCAACCGCGGAACUGCGUCCGAAACUGCUUGGCUUGAGUCCCGGAGAGGGUAGCGGAAUUCCCAGUGUAGCGGUGAAAUGCGUAGACAUUGGGAGGAACACCAGUGGCGAGGGCGGCUACCUGGACGGGUACUGACGCUGAUGCGCGAAAGCAUGGGGAGCAAACA
This 207-nucleotide ribosomal RNA is filed under the name uncultured bacterium. RNAcentral's name for it is "partial 16S ribosomal RNA". It matches the Rfam family "Bacterial small subunit ribosomal RNA", at positions 568 to 774 of the family's 1533-position model. The record is from RNAcentral.